Molecule: unclassified non-coding RNA, 220 nt
Filed under: plant metagenome
Description: partial contains small subunit ribosomal RNA, internal transcribed spacer 1, and 5.8S ribosomal RNA
Source: RNAcentral
GUAGGUGAACCUGCGGAAGGAUCAUUAGUGAAUUGAAUAUGUUAGCGGACCUCUUCGGAGUCCCUAGCAUCAAAUCAUAUCCAUAACACCUGUGAACCGUAAGGCUGUCUUGAAAACGAAAGUGAUUAGAGCGCCUGCCCAUUUUAUACAAACAUUAAAGUAACAAACGUAGUCUUAUUAUAAUCUAAUAAAACUUUCAACAACGGAUCUCUUGGCUCUC